Non-coding RNA from Helianthus annuus (common sunflower), 120 nucleotides. NCBI's taxonomy places the organism in Eukaryota, Viridiplantae, Streptophyta, Magnoliopsida, Asterales, Asteraceae. The record is from Rfam.
AGCCACGUAGUGCAUACAAAGCGAACUAUUCUUUCGCCUUUUACUAAAUAAUACUGUGUAUUCGCGCCACUAAAGUGGCAUACGCUUAUUUUUGGAGAGACACUUCAACAAUUGAAGGGU